RNAcentral lists this ribosomal RNA (478 nucleotides) under uncultured bacterium. RNAcentral's name for it is "partial 16S ribosomal RNA". It matches the Rfam family "Bacterial small subunit ribosomal RNA", at positions 28 to 523 of the family's 1533-position model. The record is from RNAcentral.
GACGAACGCUGGCGGCGUGCUUAACACAUGCAAGUCGAACGGUAAGGCCCUUCGGGGUACACGAGUGGCGAACGGGUGAGUAACACGUGGGUGAUCUGCCCUGCACUUCGGGAUAAGCCUGGGAAACUGGGUCUAAUACCGGAUAGGACCACUGCCUGCAUGGGUGGGGGUGGAAAGCUUUUGCGGUGUGGGAUGGGCCCGCGGCCUAUCAGCUUGUUGGGGGGGUGAGGGCCUACCAAGGCGACGACGGGUAGCCGGCCUGGGAGGGUGACCGGCCCAACGCGGACUGAGAUGCGGCCCAGACUCCUACGGGAGGCAGCAGUGGGGAAUAUUGCACAAUGGGCGCAAGCCUGAUGCAGCGACGCCGCGUGAGGGAUGACGGCCUUCGGGUUGUAAACCUCUUUCAGCACCGACGAAGCGCAAGUGACGGUAGGUGCAGAAGAAGGACCGGCCAACUACGUGCCAGCCGCCGCCGUAA